Myodes glareolus (Bank vole) is the source of this 1404-nucleotide long non-coding RNA. RefSeq lists it as uncharacterized. The record is from RefSeq and is a predicted model, not a curated record. Lineage: Eukaryota; Metazoa; Chordata; Mammalia; Rodentia; Cricetidae.
AAGGGAGGGAGGGAAGGUUGGUUGAUUUGGGCUCAUGUUUAAGACACACUCUAUCAUGGUAAGGAAAUCCUGCUAUCAAGAGCCUGAGGUCGUUGAUCACAUUAGCUCUACAGUCAGGAAGCUAAGAGAGAGAGAAGAUGGCAGCAGCCGCAAGCACCCUCGGAAAUGUGAGGAUGCUCGGAGGAGCCUGAGAGACCCGCAAAGGCUUCGCGGGAAGAUGGCAGCUGCAGAGGGAGGACGAGAAGGGAGGCUGAGCCUGCAGUGAGCGAAAUAGCUCUGGAACAACUGGAAAACGGCAGGUGUUCUGGAAAGAUGCUUUUUAAAAAGCAGUUUCAUGGAACUGGAAAAAAAGAUGGUGGCAAGGAGAGGCGCGCAUGGAAGAAAGAAGUGGAACUAGAGUCGCAACGGCAGCAACGGGUGUGAGAGCCUGGCUAUGGCAGACAAAGGAGCUUGUUGUUGCUGAGUAGGGCCAGUCCUCAGGCUGCUGGGAGGCUCGGGCCACCAUGGGGCCCACCACACCCUGUAGCCUCCUGCUGGGCUGCUGCAGCCACUUACUCGGUGGCUCAUUCUGCAAAUCCGAUGGCUGUGCCUGGGUACCAGCUGGGCGGCUGACCCCGAGGGCAGGUCAGCUGACCCCGAGGGUAGCGUGGUUGACACUGAGCGCAGGAUGGUAUACAGCAGUUUGUUGGUACACAGGUGGUCCAGGUCCCGUCUCCGAUGUGCUGCCCAAUCUCCCGAUCACCCUGACUCUUGAGCAACAACAAGAGGCAAAGACUGAUUCAUUUUCUGGAUUAAGUCUCCUGGAAAGUUUCCCCGUGGUCCAUGAUGCUGCCGGAGGCCAUAUUGGUGUGUGAGUUCACUACUGCCGCCUGCGACUGCAUCGAAGUCCGUGAUCUUCGCCACCACUGAAGACUAGAUUGAUGUUCAUGAGCUCAACAGCCGCAGGAAACUAUGCUGGAGUCCACAGUCUGUGCUACCACCAGCUGCCAUGAGCAAGGAACUCACCAGAAAAUGAGAGACAUUGAAGGUUUUUGUGACAGCCCCUCCUCCUGCCCCCCAGAAAGCAACAGUCUACACAAGAAGCCAUUGAAGAGAUUCUUUAAAAGCUGUGAUAACGAUGCCGAUUGUCGCUCUCACAGUUGAUGGCUUCUGGUGGGGAUGGAUGGGAAAUGACUCCGUUUUCUUUAAGGGACUGGCCACUGAGCGUUAAAGCCAAGCUCCAGUGAGUAUAUGGGUAACACAGAUUGGACUUGGUGGGUUGGGGGCCAGGGGAGGGUGCAAGUCCUGGGAGAAACGGGAAGCAAGUGUGAUCAGGGUACAUUUGAUGAAUUUCCCAAAUAAUUAAUAAAAAUAUUGCAUGGGGAUGUUGAGGUGAAAUAGACACAACAUAAAGUUACCAUUUAA